Lolium perenne is the source of this 1037-nucleotide long non-coding RNA. RefSeq lists it as uncharacterized. The record is from RefSeq and is a predicted model, not a curated record. NCBI's taxonomy places the organism in Eukaryota, Viridiplantae, Streptophyta, Magnoliopsida, Poales, Poaceae.
GCCGUUAGUCUUCCCUGUGAUUAAGAUCCCCUAAAUUCUCCAGUAACGCACCCUCCACUCCCCACCAUGAUGAUCGGUUCAUUAGCACCCCCCUAACCCCCUCCUCGCCAUUUUAUAACUCCGCCGUGACGACGCCACUAAUCUGCAGACGGCUCGCAGCCAUGGCCCAUGGCCACCAGCGGCAGCAGGCUGGAUAUGGAGGAUAUCAUCACCUCCGUUGCCACCAGCAGUUGGGGCGCUGGCUUAACCCACUACUCCCUGACGACUUUAUAUGUUCUUCUAUCCAAAUUUGUUUUGCAGGAUGGCGUUAACUUUGCACACGUGAAUCUAUCCCCUGACAUCUUCAUGAUUACACGUUUGCGCUCGCGACAGAUCAAAUCCCUGGCAGCCUAGACGAACUCCACCAGCGGUGAGCCUUCGCUAAUUGCGUUUUCAGGAUUCAGGUACUUUUUCGAUAAUCUGAAUUUCAUACAUGUCGCACUAUUGCUCUCCUCUUUUCCAAAAUAUUCUCAUACAAUCAAAGGUCAGGUGAGUCCCUGCUACAAUCAUCAUGAUGAUGAGCUUCAUUCUUAUUAGUAGUAUUAAAAACUGCAAGCUAUGUAUGACAUCAAUCUGCAGAAUCGAGGGUGGGUUUUAUCUGGAGCAUCAGUGCUAGACAUCAUUAGCUGAAUUAACAUGCAACUCCAAGACAAUAUGCAGGACCCAAUUAACCUGCAUAUAUAGCGGAGGUAUCCACAUAAGAUGUGCAAGUUGUGCGGUAGUGAGAUGGAAGUUGCAUCGGUCCAGCUGCCCCUGAUGACAAAAGAUAUGUUUCUUGAUCCAAUUCAUCUAUCGUAUAUGUAACGAGGAGUGCCCGAUGCGAAGUGCUAGCCUGGAUUGGAUCUGUCUACUUCAAUCGAUCUUUUUUACAUGGUUCAUUUGGAACUAAAAUAAAACUUUACGUAAAGGAGCAAGAGAAUUAUGAUCAUCAGUUGUAACGCUUCCUCUUUUUUUCCUACCACUACAUUCAGGAUAACCAAAGCUUGAAUUUGACAUAU